GUGCCAGCAGCCGCGGUAAUACGUAGGGUGCGAGCGUUGUCCGGAAUUAUUGGGCGUAAAGGGCUCGUAGGCGGUUUGUCGCGUCGGGAGUGAAAACACUGGGCUUAACUCAGUGCUUGCUUCCGAUACGGGCAGACUAGAGGUAUUCAGGGGAGAACGGAAUUCCUGGUGUAGCGGUGAAAUGCGCAGAUAUCAGGAGGAACACCGGUGGCGAAGGCGGUUCUCUGGGAAUGUCCUGACGCUGAGGAGCGAAAGUGUGGGGAGCGAACAGGAUUAGAAACCCUGGUAGUCC
Molecule: ribosomal RNA, 292 nt
Filed under: uncultured bacterium
Lineage: Bacteria
Description: partial 16S ribosomal RNA
Rfam family: Bacterial small subunit ribosomal RNA
Source: RNAcentral